GAGUGGAGCGCCGUCAGUCAACUCAUCAACAACUUGCAGGGGCAGUUGGUGGAGAUUUUGCCUCAGGUGGAUCGCUGGCAGAUGGAGGUUACCGCCUGGAUGCGCAAUCCGUCAAGCAUUCCCAAGAUUUAUGAUUUGGAAGUACCGGAGCCCGUGGGCUUGCCUAAUUCCUUUGAGCCAGAACUGCCAUUGACACCGCCGCCGCCUGCUCCACCAACCGAGCGGCUCACCCUCAUCCAUCCCCUCACGAUUCAUGUGUUGGAUGUGGUGGACCGAACAGUACCUUUCAUGGAAUUUCGCCAAGACAAUGAGCCUGAUGAAGAGGAAGCCCUCGCCAGGAGGCAUGAUUACUCCCGCUUUUGCUUCAGGGGA
RNAcentral lists this ribosomal RNA (372 nucleotides) under Triticum aestivum (bread wheat). RNAcentral's name for it is "partial small subunit ribosomal RNA". The record is from RNAcentral. Lineage: Eukaryota; Viridiplantae; Streptophyta; Magnoliopsida; Poales; Poaceae.